RNAcentral lists this microRNA precursor (79 nucleotides) under Medicago truncatula (barrel medic). RNAcentral's name for it is "MIR5269 microRNA precursor family". It matches the Rfam family "MIR5269 microRNA precursor family". The record is from Rfam by way of RNAcentral. Lineage: Eukaryota; Viridiplantae; Streptophyta; Magnoliopsida; Fabales; Fabaceae.
UUGUUUUAAAUCAUUGUGGAUCUACACUUUGAAAAUAAAACCCACACAAAAUGGUGUGACAUGCAUUGAUUUCAUCCAA